AGUGAACCAGCCAUGUGCACCAUGCAGCCAUUUUGUAGCAAUAUACUGUAAUAUACUGUUUGUGUCAUAUUAUUGUUGUACUUUUAAAGAAAAUGAAUAACUUCUAGCGUCCACCGAUAUGGUUCACCUGCACCAUUAAUAAAAGGCAAUUAGUGAGCAGCUUUCUCAGCAGGGACCGCCACUAUGGCAACGAAGCAACAAAACAAGUGCCACCACGGUGAAAGAGUGUCCUCUUCUGAAAGCCUGCAAGCAAACCGGAAGCUCCAGAGACUCCAGCCUGAGGUGUGAUCCAGGUCCGGAAGCUUCCACCUUAAGGAAACAGCCCAGGGUGACAAGCUCAAGUCCAAAGGGAGGUUGUCUUUCCAUCAAAAAUUCAAGUUCAACAUCUAGAACUGGUAGGACCAGAUUGAGGCCCUUUGCUCGGCCCAGCAUCCUGCCCUCGCUCGCCUCUCCAAGACAGAAGGACAACAAAACUUGAUGUCCUACAGUCCGGUUCGAAGAAAUGGCCCUUACGUGAGGGUCAGGUUCAACAAUGUUAGCCAGCUCACAGCAGGUGCGUGUCAAAGGAGGGGAAAAAGGAGAUUUAGUGUAUGCAAAGCGACCAAAGACGUCAGACAAAGUGACCCGUGGCUGCGAGCGGGGGAGGAAAAUAUUUAACUGUUACACCAAAUUUGUUCCCCCAAGUGCCCUGAAGACACAUGAAAAUAUGCAAAGUUUUUGGUAUAAUGCAUGCAGGUAAAUGUCACACACACGCACACCCUGAGGUGAAACUGUAACAGGGAUAUUUUUUUUUCUUAACCCCCAAAGCUUAAAAUGUAUUUUCUCUCGCCAAUCAACUGACAGGAGGUGUGCAGUAAAAUGUGCAUAUCAGUGAUAGUAAUUUAAAAAAUAAAAAAACACUAAAAGGGCUUCAUCUGUUACACUAUGUGAAACACACACACGCAACACAAAAGUGAUGAGAAUCAAUAAUUUGUAACACACUGGCCACAGAUUACAUCAUGAAUUUGUGCAAUGAAUUAGUCUGAUUAGGCUUCUAUUAAAUUGGAUUUAGUCAAAGCAGCAGCAGCAGCAGCACUGGGACUUGAAGGUUAAAUUUGAUAUAAUUGAUUUGGAAUUGGAUUAGGACGCUUUUCAUCUUUUACACCAUCAUCUAUUUCCCCCCCCCAAGCCCUUUCAAAAAAACACAACAAUCCUGACAAUUCCUCAACAAGCUUGAGAAAAGUUGUUACCGAUAAAGAGAUCUUAUGGUUGAUUGAUUUUAUUUUUUUAAACUUUGGUGUACAAUAAGUGUGUAUGUUAUAAAGGGGAGAAAAUCAAACUAACUUGUGCACAUUUAAGGCAUGUUAAAAUGUUAGAUGUAAUAAUUAUAAAUGAUGACACACACACCUGCAUACAAAUAAAAACAAUAAUCAAAGACUUCAAAGACUUGGAAGACUUCAAAGAUUAUUUGAUCCAUAUUAUAUAUUAAAUACACGUUUGCAGUGAAUGUUCAAUUAAAUUGUUUGUGUUUUAGGGCAAAAUUACGUAUUUUUGUUUUUUUAAACUUGCCUUGCCAAAUCCCGUCCGACAAAGGCGACUUUUUUAAUUCGCCAGCGCGCUCCGUCAAAUGAAAAGAAAGCAAGUGGACGCUUUCAAGGCGGCCAGCAAAGAGCAAAUGUUGGGAAGAAAUCGGCAAAGAGAAGACGGUUCUGGCUCACCUGGCACCGUCUCCCUGUGGCUCAACGUCAAGUGCUGCGGGUUCACCUGCUUGCGGCGGGACAUCGCCCCGGCAU
Molecule: long non-coding RNA, 1772 nt
Organism: Nerophis lumbriciformis (worm pipefish)
Lineage: Eukaryota; Metazoa; Chordata; Actinopteri; Syngnathiformes; Syngnathidae
Source: RefSeq, a predicted model, not a curated record